RNAcentral lists this ribosomal RNA (372 nucleotides) under uncultured organism. RNAcentral's name for it is "partial 16S ribosomal RNA". It matches the Rfam family "Bacterial small subunit ribosomal RNA", at positions 527 to 896 of the family's 1533-position model. The record is from RNAcentral.
GUAGGUGGCAAGCGUUGUCCGGAAUUAUUGGGCGUAAAGCGCGCGCAGGCGGUUCUUUAAGUCUGAUGUGAAAGCCCACGGCUCAACCGUGGAGGGUCAUUGGAAACUGGAGAACUUGAGUACAGAAGAGGAAAGCGGAAUUCCACGUGUAGCGGUGUAAUGCGUAGAGAUGUGGAGGAACACCAGUGGCGAAGGCGGCUUUCUGGUCUGUAACUGACGCUGAGGCGCGAAAGCGUGGGGAGCAGACAGGAUUAGAUACCCUGGUAGUCCACGCCGUAAACGAUGAGUGCUAAGUGUUAGGGGGUUUCCGCCCCCCUUAGUGCUGCAGCUAACGCAUUAAGCACUCCGCCUGGGAGUACGGCCGCAAGGCUG